RNAcentral lists this unclassified non-coding RNA (341 nucleotides) under soil metagenome. Its description in RNAcentral is "partial contains 5.8S ribosomal RNA, internal transcribed spacer 2, and large subunit ribosomal RNA". The stretch from base 1 to 120 matches the Rfam family "5.8S ribosomal RNA", at positions 35 to 154 of the family's 154-position model. The record is from RNAcentral.
GAUGAAGAACGUAGCGAAAUGCGAUAAGUAGUGUGAAUUGCAGAAUUCAGUGAAUCAUCGAAUCUUUGAACGCACAUUGCGCCCUUUGGUAUUCCAAAGGGCAUGCCUGUUCGAGCGUCAUUUGUACCCUCAAGCUUUGCUUGGUGUUGGGCGUCUUGUCUCUAGCUUUGCUGGAGACUCGCCUUAAAGUAAUUGGCAGCCGGCCUACUGGUUUCGGAGCGCAGCACAAGUCGCACUCUCUAUCAGCAAAGGUCUAGCAUCCAUUAAGCCUUUUUUUCAACUUUUGACCUCGGAUCAGGUAGGGAUACCCGCUGAACUUAAGCAUAUCGAUAAGCGGAGGA